GGCUCUGGCUCAUUAGCAGAAGGACUCCCAAACCACUAACCAAGUUUUUCUGGAAGUGAUGUAGAAUCAUUCAGAGAAAGACAAGUUGCUGCCUCAAGGACCUCACUUGUCUCAUUCUAAAUGCUGCCCUAAAAGGGCUGGGACUCCAAAUUCCAGGUGCAAGCCAUGUUUCCCUAAUAUCUUCAUACUUAGUGAAGCCAAGGAUGAUAUUCCUCCUGCUCUGAGGACCAGGUGCUCUCCGGCACCUCUGCAUUGAUUUUGGGAUUUACACAAGACUUGGGUGAUGCACAGACCUUGAAAUGAAAGAGAGGAAUGAGUCUUAGUGAGCAAAGCUGCGAGGGAUUUCUAAAUUACAUCCUCUCCUCUUCUGUUCCCCUUUCCUUUUCCUCCUCCCACUCUUUCUUUAUUUGAUACCACAGCUCUGCCAAGUGGAGGAGAGCUAAAUUGGAUCCCAUCCUGACUGACAGGAGUGGGAACAGCCCAGAGCUGGAGCUAAGGGCACAUCUGCUGCUGCCAUGGGGUCUGGAGGGUGUCAGAAGUGAAGAGAAAGUGCAUAAAAACCCCUUCCUCUGAAGGCAGCUGCUGUUAACAGCUUUCAGGCCUGAUCUGCUGCUCCUACUUGGAUGUUCUUGAUGAAAGGCAAACAGAAGCCACUCACAAGAAUGGGGAGAUUUCCAAGUGCUGCAGAGGGACCAAUUUUGCUUUGGAACUCCCAGGAAACAGAAAUGGGGAGAUCCACUCUGAGGCAUUGCAUGAAUUGAAAUUAUCAGGCGAGGUAAGGGAAAGAAAGCAGAAUAAAUCCUCACAUAUCGAGAGGGCUCCUCCUUGUUCUGGUCGUUCAUGUCCGUGGGGAUGCUCCUUGUGGCCAUGGGC
Molecule: long non-coding RNA, 873 nt
Organism: Taeniopygia guttata (zebra finch)
Lineage: Eukaryota; Metazoa; Chordata; Aves; Passeriformes; Estrildidae
Source: RefSeq, a predicted model, not a curated record